Molecule: long non-coding RNA, 11178 nt
Organism: Mus musculus (house mouse)
Lineage: Eukaryota; Metazoa; Chordata; Mammalia; Rodentia; Muridae
Product: predicted gene, 32164
Exons: 5
Source: RefSeq, a predicted model, not a curated record
CCCUGGUGAGAGUGGAGCAAAGGGAUGGUCUCUCGGCAGGAGCUGAGACUUCCUUCCAUUUCCUUAACCUUAAGCUGCACCAGGCAGCACAGUGCCUGGCCCACGGGUGGUCCUUGUAUCAACCCAGGGUAGUGACCAUCUCCCCUCCUGCAAUCCUCCUAGCAUCUAAUGCGGUACUUUGAACGACAUGCAUGCCUGUCAAAGUUGAUCCCCUGGGCUGAGGUAGAAGAGAGAGGGGCAGGAAGAGAGAGGAAAAGCAGGGCAGCCAGUGGUGGUCCCAAAGGACUUGCCAACAUCUUCCCUUUCCACAAGUGUAAUGAUGCACUCAUGUGAUUGGUUUAAUUCAAUAACUCUUUAAGACGAAAGAGCUAUCAAGGAUUAUAGCAUUGUUUUUUUUACUGUGAAAGGUCUUAAGAAUUUAAAUGUCCAUCUAUGGACUAUCGUGCUGUUGAGGUGUGGUCGCUGAUGGAAAGAAGUUAAUAAUUUGCAAUUUCAUUCAAAAGGAAAUCGAUGCUAGUCACCAUGUUCUUAAUCAUCCCGUCAAUGUAAAAACAUUAAUAAAAGGUAGGGAUAGGAAGCCAAGAACUACGAGACAUCUGAGGAAACCCGACUGUUGCAACAGGAACACAGAUGAGCACUUUGGAAGCUAAGCCCAGAGGAAAGGAUCUAUGCUGCUGGAGCAAGCACUCACAAAAUUCUAGAGGGAAGAUACUGCGCACAUGGAACAGUGCUGAGGAGAGAGACAUUUGGAUGCACAGUUGUUGAUUAAGUUUUAGUGCCCCAUGUGGAAAACAAAGUAUCAAUCUGUAAUCGACCCCAAACGAGGAAAACGCGGCAAGUAUUGGGGAGGAAUAAGCUGGCACAAAUAUGAACUGAAAAAUUCAUACUGUGCAAAAAAAAGUACUUAAACCUAGGGCUAAAAAAAAAAUCAAACCUUGGCUUCCCUAACCAACAGGAAAUAAUACAGAAGGCUGGGAGAGGCGGAUCAGUGGGUAGAGCAAGCAGCUCUACCCACUGACAGCCUGAGUUCCAUCCCUAGCAUCCAUGUAAAGAUAGAGAUAUCUUCCAAUCUUCCGCAAGCCCAGAGCUGCUGCACACAUACAAAAUAAUAGUAAACAUGAUCAAUAUUUCGUAAAAUGACUGCAGACAUAAAUCAUACUCUUGGAUGGAAUGUCAGUAUUGAAAAAUUGUCAGUUCUCCUUCAAUUGAUCUCUAAAACAAUAAGAUCUCAAUUAACAGUGCGAUUUUUUUUUUUUUUUUUUUUUUUUGGUAUGUGUGUGUGAAACUUGAUGAGCUGAUUUCUGUAGCUCAUCUGGAGGAGACAGGUGGCAAGAUUUCCACUGAGCUAAUGUUUCAGUGAGCCAACGGAACAGACCCGGUAAGUUCAGUCUAGGUCAUGCCCUGUCGGUAAAAAACAAUAAAGUCCCUUAGCAGCUAUAGAUCCUAUGAGGACUGAAUCUCCCUAACACCUUACCUGUCUUAAACCCAGUGUUUCUGGUGGGUUUUAAACAUGCUGCAGACUGAGAGCCUUCCAGCUUUUACUCUCCUGACCUCUCAGUGCAUGGCAGUGACUCUCCAAACACCAUCUGUGCUCACCAGACUGAGGAACUGUUUGUCUGCCUGCGGGACUGCCCAUUUCCCCUUCUGCUCCUUGCCUGCAGCCCGAUGUGCAGCAGAGGUAGCCUGGGCCUCUGAUAACAAUCCUGCUGAGGCUAGCACAUACAGUUCCCGAACAAGGGUAGGCCAGGCUCUGGAAAUGGAAUGACUGAGACCUGAGAGGAGGAGGGGAAUAAGACCAGAGAUGAGAAAAAGAGCUUACCAGGAAACUAGGCUGGGGGUGGGGUAGGAGGGACUGCUGAGUGGAAAAGAAGCUGGAACGGGGCUCAGAACAUCUUAAGGCCAGUAAAGGGAAUGGGAGGAGGUAAGAACUAAACAUACAAAGAGUUUGAGUCCUAAGUGUGAGAAAUACAUAUAUUAAGUAUAUAUUAGAUAUAAUAUAUAUCUUUUAUUAUAUAAUAUAUAAAUAUGUAAUAUAUAUUAUAAAUAUCAUAUAAUAAAGGUAAAUGUAUGGAUUCAUCACAGAGCGGGCCAACUGAAUAAUCAAAUGCUGUAAUGGGCCCCAGAGUGUUGUGGGGAACAAGGAAACGACAUGGUCAUAGCUGUAUGACGUAGAGCAAGUUUCUUUCCCCCUACAUUUGACUCUUUAGUCUGGGUAGAAGCACAUGAGUGCAGAGAAGUAGCAUUCUCAGCCCUCUUCGUCCCCUGUUCAGUGAAUUCGAAUUUCUUUCUCCAUCCAUCGAAACACAUCACCCGCACUCUCUCCCUACACAGAGGACGGACCAAAUGAACCUGGUUUGCUCUCUAGCAUUAGCAAGUGUGUGCUAUUUGCAGACUCCGUUCUAAGCCAUUUGCAGUUGAGGAUUCAACUCUAACAAUAACCCUGUGACAUAAAUAACUUAUUAUAAGUAAUUUGCCCAAGUAGCUGAGGGAAUGAAGGGCUCUAACCACAAAGCCCAUAAUCUAAGCCACUCAACUGUAUUCCUUUCCAUCAAAAAGGCAGAAAGUAGAAAACAAAGCCACUGGAGGGCCUGGUGGAGACACUGAUGGAGGUCCCCUCUGGGUGGGGGAGCAUCUCGGAAGGUUUAGAGAAAUCCCCCUUCUGACUGUGGGGUCUGAGGGGGACAGCACUGCCACAAUGAAGCUGUAACACACUUCACUGCACUCUGAAAAUCUGAGAUGGCUCUGGUGGGGGUGCUAAUUGUAGAUAUGGCCAGGAUAAAGUGGACCUGGGCAUGGCCUCUUGUUUUGAAAGUAUCUUGACAUCUAGGAGCACUGUGUGGUGAUAAGUCCAAACAGAAGACUGAGGGUCCAAGAGCAGUCUAAAGAAAAGAGAGUCAAAGUUUAUCCACAUGUCUGCCACCCACGCUGUUCAGACUGAUUCAAAAUGGUCAGUGCUGGUGCUGUAGACAGAAAGCCCUGGAAAGAGAGGAGAAGGAAGGAGGUAUUGUCCAGGGAAGAUAACACACACACACACACAAAUGAAAAAGAAAUGACUAUUCUCAUCUAUUCAUUUAUUAAUAUGUGUGUGUGAUAUUCAUGUUUUAGAUAUUAAUUGUGUCUUGACCCUAUGACAUUUUCUGUGUUCCCUGAAUUCAUUGAGUUUCCUUUAAGUCUCUUUCAUUUUGUUAAACACUUAGGCAUGACACUAGGGAGUAUGUCAGAUACUAUACACAGAGGUGUCUAUCCAACAGACAUGUUCUCUGCCCACUUGGAGCAGUACACUAUAGAGGUAGAUAGCAGUUAUCCGUGGCCAUCUCCAAGCAGGGUCGACUUGAAAAACCACAUCAGGCCAAGUGGGAUCUAAUUUUCCCAGGUGUAGGCACUCGGGAAAUGCUCUAGCUCUAAGCAUGCUCUAGCUUAUCUACAGCAUCAUUUCUGCUGAACAGCAGAAUAAUUUGAAUUUACAAAGUUCUCUCUUUUCUAGUCUAGCAUCUAGAAGAAACUAUGAGAAGCAGCAAAAUGCUACCCAAGACUAAGUUUCAGGAAACUUCUCCUGGCUCCUUCUUGCUCCCGGGGGAUUAAGUACUGGAGACAGCGAGGGCUCAGAAUGAUCCCUUCUCCUGGUUCUCACACCUUCUGGUAAUUUCCCACCGUGUGCCAUGCCAGUGUUGCCCAACACUAGGUAAUUUGGGGAAUGGGAGAUGUGAUAGAUAUUUCCUAUCCGGUGUGUGUGUGUGUGUGUGUGUAUGUGUGUGUGUGUGUGUGUGUGUGUGUUCUCUCAGAUUUUGAAAGAGAGGCACAUUUUGAGUGAAAUUGUUGAUGAAGCUCAUUUAGAGAGUAAUGGAAGCCUCUAUAGACAGCCACUAGAGUGAAGUAGCAUAUACAUUUCCUAUGCCUAGUUUAAUUUGUUUGGUUUUUGAGAUUUUAUUUAUUUUUAUUUUAUAUGUGUUGUUUUGCCUGCAUGUACGUCUGUACUCACAUGAGUACAGUGCCCGUAGCGGACACACGAAGGUAUCAGAGUUUUCUAACACUGGAAUUACAGAUGAUUGUGAGCUGCCAUGCGGGUGCUGAGAAUUGAACACAGGUCCUCUGGAAGAACAGUCAGUGCUCCUAACCACUGAGCCAUCCCUCCAGUCCCGAAGUCUAGUUUGUAAAGGCAGUAGCUUGACUUACAUGACAGGUCAUAAGCCAUAACUAUCCAGCCUGUCCAUUCUCAAAUGACUCAUAUUCAUAAAUGAUGUAAGGUUUUUUUUUUUUUUUUUGCUGCAAAGUUUUGGUGGUAAUCUGUUUUGCAACAAUACAUAAGCAACAUAGUACCUGCUCUCUGUACUUUGUGUAUCCUGCUCCUCCCAUAGGGCACUCACACAUGGUGUAAUUACCCAUUUACUUGUUUAUCUCAUCACACUAGCAGCUAAGGGAGAUCAUAUUUCCACUGCUUUUGUGCCCUGGCCACCUGGCACACGCCUGAUUGAUCCAUAGCAAGUAACCACAAUAUGUUGUUGGAUAAAUAGCUCUCAUCAGUGCAGAGCGUUGGGAUUGAGAAAACAUUCCCAUUUCUGUGCUCUCAUCUACUCCUCCGGCAACACCAAGAGGUGAGUAGUCACAGAAUGGGUCGCUGAGACAUAUUGCCUUGUGUGCAUAGCUCACCGUUGGUAACUGAUAAAAUCAAGACUCAAACCCAAUUCCUACUCUAUGCUCCUUCUGCUAAUCAACUGCUCUUCCCUUAGCUUGGAGAAAAACUGAGAGAUCAGUGUUACCCAGUCAUGAGCAGAGUUCCAUGGAAGAGAUACUGAGUAAGGACUGACCCAUCUAUGGAGCUAGAGAGUUGAACGGUUAGAAACACUAGCUGCUCUUCUGAAGUCCUGAGUUCAAUUCCCAGCACUCACACAGUGGCUGAUAACCAUCUACAACGGGGUCUUCUGCCCUCUUCAAGUGUGCAGACAUACAUGUAGACAAAACACCAAAACACCUCCACGCCUUACUCUCUCUCAAAUUCGUGACCUCUUUGUCUUUAAUUUUUGAUAUGUACAUAUUUCUAAAUUCAUAAAUACAACAAUCUCUGUCUGUAUAAUGUUAGUUGCAUGUAUAUGAUUUCAGGAGUGUCCAUUUGACAUUAGGUAACCAGUCAGCAUGCUCUUCCCUGGGGAAGACUGUUUCUCCUGGUCCCAGCAUUCCUUACUUGCCUCUAGUGCUUUGUCUAGAGUUGAGACCUUAUGAGAUUUGCCCCAUCCAUGUUACAUGUCUGUUGGGGUCAUCCUUGAUCACGACAUGUUUAAGCAGCCAUGCUGGUGAAACUUCAUAUUUUGCCUCCAUGUCUGUCUGUGUAUCAUGUGCAUACCUGGUGCCCAAAAAGGCCAGAAAAAGAUAGUGGAUCUCCUGGUACUGAAGUUAUAGACAGUUGUUAGCUGCUGUGUGGGUGCUGAGAAUCAAACCUGAGUUCUCUGGAAGAGAACCCAGUGUUCAUAACCUCUGAGCCAUCGCUCCAGCCCCCAAGCUGCUUCCUUUCCCCAACAUUAUAUGUUUCAGCUCCAAGAGUAAUUCCUGAUUACAGUAGAGGCACGUGGGACAAGAUGCCACAGUCUCAGACCCUACCUGUAUGGCUGUGUUCCGUCUCAUCUACAAGCUGUGUCCCUGUCACUGAUGCUUGGGACCAAGCUCAGUGCUUUAUAUUGUUCUGUUGGUUGAUGAAAGGAAAUACACUUUUGUGCCUGGAGACUGCUUCAGUUUUCAUAACUUUAAAAUGAGAAAAAUGGUUUUUAUGGUGAUCAAAUAAAAAGGUGGUGUUUCUUGUUUGUUUGUUUGUUUGCUCUUUUGUUUUAUUGAGACAAGGCCUCUCUGUGUAAACUAUGUAAUCCAGGAUGGCCGUGAACUCACAGAGACCCACAUGCCUCUGUCUCGGUGUGCUGGGAUUAAAGACAUGCACCCCUACCACCUGCCUGUUGUGUGUCUGUCUGUAUACAUGUGUAGCCGUGUGUGUGUGUGUGUGUGUGUGUGUGUGUGUGUGUAGGAUUCCUGGAGCGGGACUUAUAGGAAAUUGUGAUGGGUGUGGGGUAUUGAACUGUGGUCCUUCUCAGGAGCAGCAAGUAUGCUCAACCAUUGGACCAUCUCUCUGGCCCUCUGCUUCAUGCUUUUGAGAUAGGGUCUCUCACUGGCCUGGAACUCGCUACUGAACUCACUGGCCCAAGAGCCUCAGGGAUUGUCCUAUCUCUUUUUCUCCAGCACUGAGAUUAUACAUCUGUGCCACCAUGCCUGCCUUUGUGGUUGGGGGACGUGGGGAGGAGUUUUGUUGUUGUUUUCUAGGCAAUCACUUACCGAUUGCUUUGACCCCGGCCUGAGAAGGCGUAUUUAAAAUGCCUAUCACAGAGUUGGUGUUCCCAAGCAUAAACAUAUUCUUUUCCUCUUCUGGCUGUCUCCUAUGUCCCUCCUUUCAGGGCAAGAGCACACAGCCUUCUGUGAGCCUCUCUUCUCUAUCGUAGGCUGAAAGCUCAGCAGCAGGUGCAGAAACAUGAGAAAUGGAAACUCUGUAAGUUCCUGCACCGUCUCCAGCCCGAAAGGAGAUCUGCCACAGGAGUUUUCCAUUCUACAGCUGCACAGUGAGGCUAGAGACCUCUGCCCUUGGACGGCCGCUAUUCCGAGGAGUCAGACAUGGGGUAAGCCUCAGCUGCUCUGUGGGCCAUAAUGGAAUGUGGCUCAGGGCUGCCUGACGCCAUGUGGAGUUGGGUAAAUUUGGUCUGUUCUCAUCCCUUCGAGAGACCUUUCACCUUGAGGACUCAGGAACUAGAAAAACAUUCCAGGAGCCAACAGUUUCACAUUCUCCAGUGAGCCAUGGAGGAGACUGCUAUUGCCUGGAUAGCAGGACAAAACCAGGAACUGUAAGAAGAAUCCCAAUCUGAUCCCCGGAAAUAGAGUGAUGGUUCUUGUGGGCUAGAAGAUACGAGCUUCCUGCCAGCAAGAAGAUCUGGGCUCUGUCUUUGUGUGUACCAACCAAUAUAAUUAAAUUGAGCUGUCCAAGGGUUCCCAGGUGAGCAGUGGAGGUGCUCAGGCCAAAGACAAUCCUGAAUUUCACAGUCCUACUCGAUGACGUUUGCAGACAUUCACCAGGCAAGAACCUGGUAGGUCCAGGUAUUAUGGCAGGCCAUUGGCUUGGAUGUUUGAGAAGCUUGUGCUUAAACACUGCUCUCCCACCUACUAUGCUUAGGAAAGAUACUGCUAGAGCAGGAAGUUGGCUCCGUGGUUUAGAGCAUUUGCUGUUCUUGCGGAGGACCCAGACUUGAUGCCCAGUGCCCACAUGGUGUCUCAAAACCAUCUGUAACUCCAGUUUCACAGGAUCCAAGGCCCUCUUCUGGCCUUCACUGGCACCAAGGACACUCAUGAAGCACACAUGUAUAUGACAGCCAAACAUUCAUAUGUAUAAAAUAAAAUAAAUCUAAAGAUAAAUUUUUUAAAAAAGAUAUCUACCCAAUCCAGUCCUAAUUCUCUUAUCUGUAAAGAAACUGAGAGGAACGCCUGGUUUGCAAGUCAGACACCAAAAAAAAAAAAAAAACCCCACAUGAUAUUACCAAAUAUAAAGGGCAGUGUUCAGUUAGUCAUUUUAUUAUUACAUUUUGUUUGGAGGGAAGUAAAUAACAGUCACAGUCGGAGGGCAGAACAUAUAAAGUUCAACUGAACUCAUUUGCCUUGUUUGAAACAACCACUGGAGACGCUCCGAGUGCUAACAUAUUGAACAUGAAUGGCCUUUGGACUAGAGGAAGUCAUGCUUUUGCAACUGACAUGGAUGGAUGAGUAAGCAAAUAAUUUCAGGGAGAUGAAGGACAAAAGCAAGUGGAGAUGCUGCAGCAGAAGAGUAGGGGUGGUGCUUAGACAUCUGAAGGAGUCAGGGGAGGCCUUGCUGAAGAAGCAACUCUCGGAUUCAGAUGGCUGGGUUUUAAAAGACGACCAAGCAGGAAAUCACCAGCUGGAAUGGAUGUGGGGAAAUUGCUGUGAUACCUUUAAGAGCAUGAAGAAAACGCACAGAAGAAUGAAAGCUCGUUGUGGGGGGAGGGGCAAGGAGCAGCUGCAUAUCACUAACAUGAUGGACUCUGAUCAGCCAAAGAUGUUCCCAGAGGACCUAGCCUGCCUGCUCAAGAGUCAGGCUUUGCUCUGGAGGCAACAAGGGGGCUGGGCAGACAAACAAACAACAGCGUGAUUGAUGUGGGUGCAUACGUGCAUGCCUGUGCAUGUGCAUUUUGUUUUGAGACAGGAAUUCACUGUGCGUGUGAAAGUGUGUGUGUGAACAUGUGCAUGUGAGCGUGUGCGUGUGUGUGUGCCCAGGCUAGUCUUGAACUCUUGGCAGUCCACUGGUUUCAGCCUCCCUCCAAAGUGCUGAGAUUACCAGUUAUAUGACACCAUAUACAGGAAUUUUUUUUUUUCCAAGAAAAUAACUGAGUGUAGGACGGGUAUAAAACAGAAAGACUGGAGGCCAGGAGCCUUGAACCUGUGGAAAUAAGCAACCUAUCUAAAUAAUUCCUUAAUUCAGAAGUCAGACAGUGAUCUAGAAGACGGCUAGACCUGGCUCUCAGACUGAACUUGGCUAACUUGCUCCUUUAUGUACGUCUCUGAAGCCUGACUAUUGUGUAGAAGUUGUAUAGAGCAACUGGGAUGUAUAAGCAGGAAGAUAAAGCUACAAAGGGUCAGUUAGACUUGGGUUAGCCCAAGACUCACCCAAACCCAUGGUUUGCUACUGCUUUAAAGAACACUCAGCACUUUUUCUGCAUGUCCUCGUCCUGAGGUCUGUAUUCACAAGGAGAAUGAAAGCUUUAAUUGGAGACAGUCAUUCAUCCAUCCCCACCCCCACCCCCCAUGGGACAUACUGACAGAGCUUGAGUCUAGUCUCUGGUGGAUUUCAUGAGAGAUGGAAGACAAUUCUGCCCUCAGAGGAUUCAUGAAUAAAUUCAGCCAUAAAAUUGGUGGACAAGGCCUGGUGGUGUGAAUGUUAAUCCAACAAGAGGGGCGUGCCUACUACUACAGGAGCUUGGACGAGGAUAGAGAUGGUUGGAGCAACCUGAAGCAGAGAGCCCGUGCUAAACUCUGAAUGUCAGAGAGGGCACAGGGGAACCUGAAACUAAACCAACACUGUACACUCUCUGGGUUUGUAGGGCAGGGGGGCAGUGAUUAGAAUUCAGCAGAGCCAUCUUUGCACUCCUAAAGCUGGACUCAUACUCUGUCUGUUUCCAUUGCUACACCCAGCCUAAAGUAUGACUUUCCUCUGGCUAUGACACUAAAAUCCAGUCCUCCUCUCCCCUAAAUUAACAAGUAGGUGGCAUUGGUCUACCAUUAUCUCAUCUCCUCUGUUAGUUUCUGCUUCAAGGUACCCCAUUUCUGAUCUCAAGGAUUCCCCAACAGUGAGAAAUCAUGGCAGCGCCUCCUGGGCAGUGCCCAGGUUCCCAGUUCACUGUCAUUCAUCUCCCUGUCUCUUAUUAAUGUGUGGGCUCAGUUUCGAAUAGCUUUUACACAAUGAAAUGGGAGUGCCAUGUUCUCUCCACAUUGUGACUAUCACAUAGUUUAAGGUGUUUGUCCUAUGAGAGUAUCUAUGUUCAACAACUGUUUUUCUUCUCCUUAUCUUCAGUGAGGCACACAACUGUCACCAUUUUUCCCCUGAGCACGUACUCUCUUUAUGGUGACAUUCCUGUCUCUGUUGCCACCUAACUUUUAGCAGUCUCAUUAAUGAAGCUCUGUCAUGAUACUUGUCCUACGUGGAAUUUUAACCAUCUCUCUAUUUUGGCCUUUCCAUCUGACAAGAAUCUCUGUGGCCUAUUCAUUUUUCUUCUCUAGUUCCUACACUUGGUGACAUCAGUUAGUAUUUGACGAAUGAAUGAAUUUGUAAAAGAAUGGACAGAAGCCUUUGGAACAAGCUCUUAUCAAAAGAACAUUAUUCUAGAGGGAAGCACUUUAAGACAGAAGGUAAACAAGAGCUCCAGGAAGUCUCUGAAACUGACCAGAUUCACCAGCCCCCCCACCCACUCAAAGAAAGCAUGAAAGCCUACAGAGAGUCACUUUCGGAUAUCGCAAGCUGCAAAGAAAACUCUGACAAGCCCAGCUGCUGGAAAGAAGCCAAGAUGAUAGCACUACCUGGAAGAGGCUUAGCUCAACUGAUCCCACUUGGAAGGAACAAGCUUCAACCUGUUCAGGUACCUGUAAGCUGUGUUCCAGGUCCCCAACUUUUGUGAGCUGUCACCCAUGCUGGGGUGGCCUUUGGUGGUGCAGGUGUCUUUGAGUCAUUUCUUCUCCCAUAUGCUUCACUGGACAGUCCACUGGAUGAGCGCUCACACAUCAGAGUCUCAGAUGGAAGCCAGAUGUGAGGCAAGAGUCCUUAAGAAUCAUGGGAGCUUUUAAGGCAUCUUCAGAAAUAGCAGGGGUGUAACUUACUGCCAUAAUAAUACAAUAUGUAAUUAUAUAUUGUCUCUGUGCUUAUUUUAGAACUGAUGGGGCCUUUAGAAACCAUAUGAUCUAUGCCUAUUUAUUUUGCAGAUGAAACUAAAAUGGUUAAGUGGAUUGACUUAAAGUGACUCGGGAAAUCAACAGUAAAAUAAUGUUUUUAAGACAAAAUGCUGUUUGGGAUAGACAUGUGUGAAAUCUCCCACAUGAUAAUCUUUCUGUGUGUCCUGAAAUAUGAUCUUUGCUGCACUAUGCUGGGAAAAAAUGUCUUGUUUAGUCAAAUUUUCAGUGUUUAUUCGAGACUUUUAGUUGCUCUUAGCAGAAUGUGUUCCUCCCAGGACAGUGACCAUGGAAUCCAUGUUUUAUCGCAAGUGAAGCCAGCUCGAUUACUCUGGGAUCGUAGGCAGGAGUCCAACAUCCUAAGAAGUUGUCCUUGGUCUGUCCAAAGGCCCAGCCUACUGCUGUCCUCAACUCCACUUCUCCUUCUGCUUACAGAUCCUGAGGACUCGCUGCGUCUGUAACCUUGAGUAAACUACCAAAGGUUCAAAGGCUGUGGCAAUUAAGAAAUUGCCUGGUCUGUCAGGAUGGCUCAGCAGGAAAAAUUGCUUAUCUCUGAGAAUUGUGCCUCGAGUUCUGCUCCAGAGCUCAAAACGAAGGAGAAAUCAGUUUCCAGAAGUUGUUCCUGACCGCCACAUAAAUGUGCCUCACUCUCACACAUCAUAUAUGCACACACAAUAUAAUAAAGCAAUUUGUUUAAACAAUACA